Molecule: long non-coding RNA, 1520 nt
Organism: Bos taurus (domestic cattle)
Lineage: Eukaryota; Metazoa; Chordata; Mammalia; Artiodactyla; Bovidae
Source: Ensembl
GUAAGUGGAAAGGAAAGAAGUGUCAACUCUGUUCUCACCACAGCGGGGCUGUCGGAUGGCACCUCCCCCCGCCCCGCGCACCCGGCCCGGCCGGCUCCCCCGCCCUCCUCUCGGAGCGCGCGCACACACCUCCCACCGCUUUGCCCAAAUUAUUUUCGAUCCCGGGAGACUCCGGAUGCCAGACGCGCUCCGCAGCGGCGGCGGCGGCCGCGCCUGAUUCAUUGCGCCAAAGCUGCAGAUGCGACCUCCCGCCUGCGCCCUGUGCCCCGGCCCGCGCCGGGCUGCGUGCGCGCCUGGAGAGAUUCGGGGGGGCGGCAAUUUGUAGGCUCUCCCCCCUCAAGAGUGCACCGUCUCCAUGGAAACCGCGGAGGAGGUCACGGUAGCUGGGCCCCCUCGCGUCACCCCGAGCCUCGCCGGCUGCAGGCGCCGGGAUUGCGGCCUCCCAGGCGCCUCGGCCCGCGUGGACUCUACUCUGAGUUCCCCGCCCCCGCUCCACUCAGCCCGCGGCUCAGACCAUAUGACUCUGCCGGGUCCUAACCGGGAAGGGCGCACCUGGGCACCAGUGCGCUAGGCUAUGCCUCUGUCCCCAGGCUUUGGCACGAGGGAGUGCGCCAAGAUACACGUGCCCAGCUCCAAGACUAGAACACGUGCAGCGAGACGCCACCAAGGGGCUCACGGAACUAGUGAAUGCCCUGUGCGAUCGACCUAUAUAGGUGCACCACUCCAGACCUCUUGCUAAAACAAGACCACCCGUAAAGAACCUGGAGUCCCGCCUAGGUAUCUUGCUAGCUGUGUGACUUCGGGCAAGUCGCAACCUCUCUGCGUCUCACCUUGCUCAUCAGCAAAAUGGAAUUGUCGCGUGGCUUGAGAAAAAGGCUGAGGCCGCACCUGCCCCACCGGAUGGCCGCCCCGGGGCCAGGCCGUGCCCCCCACCGCGCACACUUCCUCCCGGACCCCCAGCGCCCCGCUGAGCACGCAGGGAGGAGGGGACCCGGCCGCCCCCGCCCAGCCAGCUUCCCACAGCCCGAGCAGCCCGGAGCCGAGGAGGCAGGAAGUCUCAGAGCCGGGGCGUGGAGGCGGGGUAGGGGCAGGAAGUUGGGGGUGACUCUCCCAGAGACCCUAGACAGGCCCCGGCGUGGGAGCGGGAUGGGCGGGCGCGUAGGGAUUAAGGGCGCGCCCCCACCCCCGCCUCUGUAGCCUUAGACCACGUGAUCCCGGCCGGAGCGCCCCGCUGGGUGAGGGCGAAGGCCGCUACCUCUGGCGACCCCCAGCAGCGCGCACUAGGAGGGAGGGGCAGCCUUUGUCUACUUUGCCGCAGAAGCAGCCCCCCACAACCCCUCCCCCACGCGCCCGGCCGGGCCCUGCACAGCCCGGGUUUUCCAUCCGGCCCGGCUCGGCUCGGCAGCUGUCAGGGGACCGAGCUGACCUUCGCAAGCAGGGAGUUUCAAUUAGCCGCAGAUCAGAUAAGCGGGCGGGCCAGUCUCUCCGGGCACCGCGGGGGCGCAGCCCCGCCCCCGCCA